GGAGCUCUGGCUGUGACUUGUG
RNAcentral lists this microRNA (22 nucleotides) under Polistes canadensis. Its description in RNAcentral is "pca-miR-11-5p". Its record names the gene pca-miR-11-5p. The record is from miRBase by way of RNAcentral. Lineage: Eukaryota; Metazoa; Arthropoda; Insecta; Hymenoptera; Vespidae.